AUAACGUCGCAAGUUACGCCAUACAAAAGUAUAAAAGCCAGAACAAAAUGGUGGAACUACCGAAUAUUAAGUAAUUAAUUUCGACAAGUACCCACUGCAAGUUACAUAAAAUGCGAUUUAUAUUAUUUGUUUGCGUCCUCCUUUUAACAGUUGCCCUUACGGUUGCUGUUCCUGUACCAGAAUCAGCCCCGCCAGGACAGUUCGGACCCUUUGGCCCUGUGGACCCUGGUUUGAAAUGAGUAGAAGUGCUGCAGGGAAAUUAUCAACAUAAUUAAUAUUGACUAGAAUAAAAUUUACUUAUAUAUUUAUAACUCUGUUUUUUAUGUAAAAAAAAUUAUACUCCGGUUUACAACCACCUG
Long non-coding RNA from Cydia pomonella (codling moth), 359 nucleotides. RefSeq lists it as uncharacterized. The record is from RefSeq and is a predicted model, not a curated record. The transcript has 3 exons. Lineage: Eukaryota; Metazoa; Arthropoda; Insecta; Lepidoptera; Tortricidae.